RNAcentral lists this ribosomal RNA (253 nucleotides) under uncultured bacterium. RNAcentral's name for it is "partial 16S ribosomal RNA". It matches the Rfam family "Bacterial small subunit ribosomal RNA", at positions 524 to 776 of the family's 1533-position model. The record is from RNAcentral.
UACGGAGGGUGCGAACGUUGCUCGGAAUCAUUGGGCGUAAAGCGCACGUAGGCUGCGAGGAAAGUUGGGUGUGAAAGCCCUGGGCUCAACCCAGGAAGUGCAUUCAAAACUACCUUGCUUGAAUCUCGGAGGGGGUCAGAGAAUUCCCGGUGUAGAGGUGAAAUUCGUAGAUCUCGAGAGGAACACCAAUGGCGAAGGCAGCUUCUUAGUCCAUUCCUGACGUUGAGACACGAAAGCGUGGGGAGCAAACAGG